Molecule: unclassified non-coding RNA, 208 nt
Filed under: Hevea brasiliensis (rubber tree)
Lineage: Eukaryota; Viridiplantae; Streptophyta; Magnoliopsida; Malpighiales; Euphorbiaceae
Source: RNAcentral
CAGACUGACAUUUCACAUAUCCAUCAGGCAGUUCACCUGAGAACAUGUUUUGAAGUAAAAGAAUGUAACUCAAUUUACCUCCACUACACAGAAAAGGCGGUAGCUUCCCAGAAAAUCGAUUUUCUGACAAGUCCAAUGCUAACAAAGCUGAUGAAAGACCAAAGUGUUGUGGAACUUCUCCUGUAAACAGAUUGUCAUAAAGAGACAG